ACGAACGCUGGCGGCAUGCCUAACACAUGCAAGUCGAACGAGACCUUCGGGUCUAGUGGCGCACGGGUGCGUAACGCGUGGGAACCUGCCCUUAGGUUCGGAAUAACUCCCCGAAAGGGGUGCUAAUACCGGAUAAUGUCUUCGGACCAAAGAUUUAUCGCCUUUGGUUGGGCCCGCGUUGGAUUAGCUAGUUGGUAGGGUAAAAGCCUACCAAGGCGACGAUCCAUAGCUGGUCUGAGAGGAUGAUCAGCCACACUGGGACUGAGACACGGCCCAGACUCCUACGGGAGGCAGCAGUGGGGAAUAUUGGACAAUGGGCGAAAGCCUGAUCCAGCAAUGCCGCGUGAGUGAUGAAGGCCUUAGGGUUGUAAAGCUCUUUUACCCGGGAUGAUAAUGACAGUACCGGGAGAAUAAGCUCCGGCUAACUCCGUG
Molecule: ribosomal RNA, 432 nt
Filed under: uncultured bacterium
Lineage: Bacteria
Description: partial 16S ribosomal RNA
Rfam family: Bacterial small subunit ribosomal RNA
Source: RNAcentral